AUAAAAAGACGCUCUGAUUGAUGAGAUGAACAAAUUCAAACACAAAGGUCUUACCUUGUCUUUGUUUAUAUAUAUAAUUACUCCAAUGGAUGAAACGAUUUAAUUGUUUAUUUUUGAGUCAUGUAGGUUUAUUUAGUGAUUAGUAAUUUGCGGAUAUGAAUGGUUUGGAUUUCGAAGGAUUCGCGAGCAUUGUUUGUGCCAUCCUUUAUCAUCAAACUCUCACCUUUGCCAAUAACAACUAUGAUCUAGCUCAGGAAACUGAGCAUCUUUACUCUGUGGCUAUAGACUAUGAAGACUUCAAGCUAUGAAGAGUAUUACGUACAAUACAUUUUCAACAUUGAGUUUAUGCAACAAACUCAUCUGAAUACCAGAAAACUUUUAAAAACAAAAGAAACCUCAAGUUUAUGCUAGCUAGCAGUUUCCUUUGACUUUGAAUAACCAAACACUGGAUUGGCUAAAAUAACUUGAAAGAGUUAUUAGGUAUCGGUCACGUAUCUGAUGAAAUAAUUGAGGUACGCAAAAGUUAGGUAGAUCGUUAAUAAAAGAAAAGAAAAGAAAAUAAAAAUUGAAAGAGUGACAGCGCGUAAAGCGUCGACUUCAUGAGUUCCCCUGUAAACUUCACUGUUAAUUGUUUUGUCUCUGAUAUUUAUCUCUUCUUUCCUCAUCGAAUAAAAGGAUAUUCUUGUUCUUUAUAAGUUGAUGAAAGUCACAGCACCUUGUUACUCCUC
Nicotiana tabacum (common tobacco) is the source of this 728-nucleotide long non-coding RNA. RefSeq lists it as uncharacterized. The record is from RefSeq and is a predicted model, not a curated record. Lineage: Eukaryota; Viridiplantae; Streptophyta; Magnoliopsida; Solanales; Solanaceae.